GCCCCGGUGGCGGGGGGGCCGCGCUGGGGAGUUGGUGAUUAACCUGCGGGCCAUUGAAUACCUGCCUAAAGUCGCGCCCAGGGUGGGGUUUAACCUUGUCCCAGGCUCGGUGCCUCCCAUGUGACUCUCUGCCCGAGAGCCUGAGGCGGCCAGUUCUGCUGCUGCCGCCGAAGCGCUGCGGGGAUGCGCAGCUCCCUGUUGAAAAUCUCUGCUCUAAAUCUCAGCCUAGAGCCCGCCUCGCAGUCGUUUUUGGAAGUUUCAGGCUCAAGAGGUCGAGGUGAUGUGGGGGUCUCGGCAAGCGUCUCUGCAGCAGCAGCUGUGGGCUGCAGGAGCUCGAGUGUUUGUGGCUGGCGCUUGAAUCCAUGCUGGCCCCUUUUCCUCGGGCUGAGCUGCAAGGAGCUCAGCAGCUGCGGCAUUUAGUUCAAUUAUUUCAGAUGAUCUGUAAAUUUUCAAUAAUGGCAAUACAUUCAUUCUGCCAUUUGGAGGAGCCUGUGCCACAGAAUAAUGAUCUGAAGAAAGCUCACUCAUUUGCUAGGACGAGUCUUAAUUUGGGAAUUAGCACUGAUGCAGCUCAAGGAUGCUUUUUCAUGUCCAGACUCCUUCAGCAGAACUGUUAUUUUCCUAACACAAUCUCUGGUACAAGGAUAAAAUUGGGUUUUUGUCAAAGAACAGAGUCCUGUAUCUGAAGAGUAAGAAGGUCCUUGACAUUCAGUGGGAUGACAAUCUCAGAACUGACUACUGGGGACUCCCAAGCUACAGAUCAGGUAAAUAACUUCUUUGGAGGAGGAAAUUAAAGGUGUCUUAUUUCCAAAAUUAUGAUAAUUAAGUAGCAAAUUGUGCAACUUAAACUAUAAAUAUUUCCCACUUAACAUUUCAUUUAAAAUAGAUAUAUCUAUAUUUGUGAGAGGAUUUGUUAGUUGCAGUUUGAGCCUUAUAUAAUUAUCUAACAUUUCAGCAGUACUGUUUCUAAAGAGGAUUUCUAUACUGACACAGAGCAUGAAUAUCUAGUUCUAAUCUAAUUUUCCAAUGUGAACCUGUGUGUAGUUGGUCCAAUCACUGUGAUUUUCAUUUUGCAGCAAUGUCUUUUGAUAUUGAAUGUAUAAUUUAGACCUAACAGUUUCCAUAUUAGAGGAAGUUAUAGGGGCUCUGUUCAGAUCAUAGGAUUAACUUGGUUUAUUUCCUGCUUCAGCUAGUCCCCACUUUCUCCAAAGACAGGAUAACUCAGUUUGUGUUGUGACAGCUCAGCGCAGUUUGUAACAGAGAGCCUUGACAUCACCCAGAAUUGGUGCUGCUGUACUUUAUUUCUGCUCUUGGAAAGUACAGCGGUGCUGCGGCCUCUUUAAUGGGGGCAGGAAACUUGGAGAGGAACGGUGUACAAUGGCAGCAGGAGCUGCUAUGGCCAUCUCUGGUAGCAUGUCCUAGUUCAUGAUCCAGGGUCCUCUUUUAAUCUGCUUUAUGGGGGGAAUGGGGAGGAAAAGUGGAAAAUAGUUCUGUAAUUGUUAAAAAAAGUGGUACGUUUUCCUUGUUAAAAAACAAAGUUUUUCUUCUGUCAUAGUGUUUCAAAGAGAAAACAGGACAGAUUUGGGUAUUUGUUUUUAAGACUUAUCCAAUUUCAACUAUAGACUUGCUUCCUUGCCGCCUUCAAAACCAGGAAAAUAAUAUAAAAGAAUCAAUAUUUUAAGAUCAAGAAUAAAAAUAGGGAGUAUUUUAAGAUAAAAGAUUACAAUAAAUCAAAGAAAUAUUUGUAUUACCUUUUGAGAUAUUUAACUUCAAUGGACUGUUAACAUCAAUGAGACGUAUUUAGGAUUUUCUGUGUUCAGUUCUAUAGGCAAUAUAGAAUGUGAGAGAAACAGCUGCAUCUGAAAUAGAUCAUCUGCCUUAAGAAAGUAAGCAAGUAUUCCUGCCAAGCAAUUGGAUAACCUAAAAUACAAGUGGCUUUAUAGUAGCUUCCUAAUUAAUUUAAGUGCAUAGAAGGAGUAUUGCAUGCUUGUAAAAAGUUGUGUGUUCCUAAGUGGUGAAGAAUACAAGGUUUGGGGUUUUUUUCCCCUGUAGAAAUGAGUAAUCCCUGUAAUUCUUGCCACAGGAUAUACUAAAUGACUGGGGUGAAUUCCUGUACCUCUUGAAUUUGUAAAGUUAUACAAAAUCUGAUCAACAGCUACUAAAGUUUCUUUAUAAUUAAAAAAAAGUCAUGUAGCACACAGCACAUUCAAUCUUAGAGAAGCAACGUAUUUUAAGAGACAGUUCAUAUCACUGUAGGUAAGUUUGUGCCAUUAGCACUCUAAAAUAGAAAUAUUUGAGCAAUACAUAAGCUGUGCGUGUACCUCUCUCUGUGGGUAACCCAUUGAUAUAUUAGUUUUAUAGAAUAUCUUUGUUCCACUGUUCUUUGGAACACAGCUUCCUGCCCACUCAGAAAGACGGAUCUUAACUUGUUCUUGGGACUUGCGUUCUAAGAAUGUCUGAGAGGGCUCACGUGGGAGCUGAUGUGGAGCUUACCUUAGGGCUUAGCAACAAUGGCAGGACUGGAUACCACCCAAUGUGCUGCACUGAUUUUGGGUCCCAACAUCAUGAUUUUUUUUUUUUUUUUGAGAGCAGACCGAGAAAUUUGUUAUCCUGGUCAUGAACAUCUAGCUUAAAUGCUCUUCUCUUGGAUCACACUCUUUUAUUGCUGUCAUAUUGAACUGGUUGGUUUUGUUCUUGAAGGAGGAGAGUCUGUUGCCUUAUCUGCAAUACACCUAUGGGAGUUUCAGGGUCUUCCAGGAGAGGAUAUCUCAUUCCUGACAUGCUCACCAAGAAGAGGUGAUGGAGCCUGUGUGGUGCUUUGAAGAUUAACUUCAUUAUCAUGCUGUGGAAUGGGCAGCUGGAAUUGGCAGAUGCUUUUUCAAACAACCAAGCAAAGUGCAGGUGUGGGUUGCUUGUCAGAAAUCCAUUCUGAAGCUUGAGUGCAAAGGAAGCAGAGUACUAAUGAUGAAUACGAAUGGAUAUCUUAAGGAUAACAAUGGAUCUUCAAAAGCAGUGGCAUUCUGGUCCUAGUCCUGCAACUGGAUUUAUUCAAAUGGACCUCGAUAGCCUGGGGGCCUGAUGAAGCUCAUGGGACUCUGGUGACUGCAGGUUCUCACUCUGAAGAUCUGAUUGUAGGCCUGAACCUAAAUUUCUAUUUCGUUCUCCUGUCUAUUUGCUUCUUAAGUGAUGAAAAUUAUCCUUUAAAAUGGUGUUGUCUUUGAAUCUCAUGUACAUCCACUUUAGUAGUGUUCCAACACUGUGUGCCUGGGAUGUUGUCAGACGUUAAAUUAUUUCUGUUCUGUUGAGUGUCUAAACCUCAUGAUUUCUCUGAUUAUUGUGUUAGAUUUUUCUGUUUAGUGUCUUUCUACCUAAAAUGGAGGAGAUCAUCACCUGUGUUUUCAAUCGUUGUGGUAUUUCUCUUAACUCAGAUUUUUAAGUCAGAGUAAUUGUUGAAAGUGUUCUGGUUAUUUUUAAAGAUAUAGGCAGAUUUGUUUAUUUCUUGCUGGACACAAAGUAUAAUAUUUUAUUUUGCAAACUUGGUAGCCUAGUAUUACUGAAAGCUUUCAAUAUGAUGAUACUCUGAUGUAAUAAAAUAAGUAGGAAAAGACCCUUUUACUAGCUCUCCUGUUGCUUUUCUAUUCCUGUGGCUGUGGUUACACAACAUCAGAGUGUUGUGUAAAAAAAAAGUGAAGAUAUUUUUAUUUUUUGUGAGUCAGUAUAUACCUUUUGUUGACAAUAAGCGCCGCUCCCUCUCCUAUUCCAUGUUGCAAUUUCACUGAAUAAUAAAGUUAUAGCCCUGGUAGAACCUAUAGAAAGGACUUUGAAAAUCACAUGUAGAGGGUGAUCACAAAUAGAGUGUAAAAGGAAAAAUAGAUGUGUUCUGUCUUUAUACAUGUUGGUAUAUAAGUUGUAUAUAUUUUUAAAGCAAGUAUGUAGCAGUGUAUGAUAAUUCGUAUAUUAAAAGAGCCAAAACUUACUUUCUAUAUAGAGAAUCAGAAAAACUUGUUUGGUUUUUGUAGGCUUGUUACAAUGAUAUUAAGGAGCUUCACAGUAUUUGAUGAUUUUUUGUGUAUUCCCAGAACAGAAAAGCACCAUUGUCCUGUUAAAUCAAGGAGAAAACUGAGCUACUUGUUUAGUGAGUAGUAAAGUCAAUGAUAUUAAAUGGAUUCUCCUGCCUUUUAACCUUGUGCCUCCAGCUCCUUUUUCCCCUCAAGACCCAAACAUUCCAUUACCAUCAUCUGCUUUGCAUUUCUACGUGAAAGGCCCAAGGUGUUUCUGUUUGGACUCCCAGAAAAUGAGGAAGACAAGGUUGGUUGGCCAUCUGCCAGGGUGCAAGGUCUGACUCGCUCCUUGCUCACAGGGGCUGCUGGUGAAGGCAGAGUCAGAACUGAGUGUUCUGUGUGGCAUUCAACUGCCUUAACCACAUGCCCAUCGCUCUCUUCCUGAGCUGUCUGUCUUGUUCUCAGCAUAACUCCUAAAGACAACACGUAUAACAACCAAUAAAUAAUCUAAUUUGAUGCACAGCCCUGAUUCACUUCCUGAGCCGUGUCCUGCUCACACGGGGCAGCCACAGUCCCAUGGAAAAAUUCAUCAUGGUGCAUGAGGCCAAAGAGUAAGGCUGUUAAGUGUCUUUAAACUUUGCAAUGAAGCAGUGUUCUUUUAACGUCACUUAUUAUAGUCAUAGCUCAACGUAUUUUUAACAAGGCACAAGAGAAAAAUGGAAGCUUUUAGAACUGGUUGUAACCAAUUUCCUGUCUAGCCUGUGAAUGUGAAUGUCCAGCUCAGUGAAACACAGACACACAGACCAUCAGCCAAUGGGAGGAGGCUGGCCACUUCCAGGGAGGAAGGGAAGGAAGAAGGAUGGGUGCUUAACACCAUGGGUAUAUCCAAUUUGCUUCCAAGUCUCAGGGACUAUUUGUGGAGUGUUGACCCCAGCUUUUUAGCUUUUGCUUUCUCUUCAGCAUUCCCACACCCAAAAAUUAGCUCCUCCAGAGCUUCUCAGUACAAUAGAUAUUGGGGGUGUUUCUGUAGUCUGCUAAUAAUUUAAAUGAAGAAGCAGAAAUCAAAGGUGGGCUUUUCUGCUGCAUUUUCCUGUUGAAAAAUAAGAGGAGAUGCUCCCAGUUCUCUCCACAAUGAAUUUCAGGGGCUAUCCUUCUGAUCCUUGAUCUCACAAAGAGAUGGCAAAAACUUUAAUAGAAAAUUCUGUUCUUGGCUUACCCCUUUAUCUUCUUCCUGGUCAAAUUGUAGUGACCUACUGUGUUUGUAAGCUACCAAGGAUGAUGUGUAGGCUCCAGUGUCAGAGCAAUUGUGUUGGGAACACAAGCUCAUCUUGUUAUCUUUUAUGUUAGAAUUUGGUAGCACAAUAAGUUUUUUUCAGAGAAACCUUGCCAGACCAUGGUCUGAGUUUCAGUUUUUGUUAAUAUCUGCUUUAUCUAUGGAUGGUGUUUGAGAUUUGGUCACCAAGCCUAAUGAUUUGCUAUGAGGAAAACAAAAUCUCAUACUUUGCUUUUGCAUGUUUUUCUCUGAGAUAUGCAGUCAUUUAUCCCAAGUACUGCAGCAAGUUCCUGUAAAAAGACCAGGUGGGAAUACUGUUAGGGAAAAUUUGUUCAACCCAUUCACUGAAAUUCAUAAAAAUCAAAAUACUUGCAAAAAUAAUUCACUGGUCUUUUGUUGCAAAAUAAAAAUGAAAAACCUGA
Molecule: long non-coding RNA, 5696 nt
Organism: Taeniopygia guttata (zebra finch)
Lineage: Eukaryota; Metazoa; Chordata; Aves; Passeriformes; Estrildidae
Source: Ensembl